Non-coding RNA from Podarcis lilfordi (Lilford's wall lizard), 73 nucleotides. The record is from the annotation of a GenBank genome assembly. Lineage: Eukaryota; Metazoa; Chordata; Lepidosauria; Squamata; Lacertidae.
GCAUGACAAAAUCAGUCAGUAGAGCAUGAGACUGUUAAUCACAGAGCCAUGGGUUCAAGCCCCAGGUUGGGCA